GACGAACGCUGGCGGCGUGCUUAACACAUGCAAGUCGAACGAAGUGGCGAACGGGUGAGUAAUACGUGGGUAACCUGCCCUCCUUUUUGGGAUAAGCCUUGGAAACGGGGUCUAAUACCGAAUAAAGGGGGAUGGGCUCGCGGCCUAUCAGCUUGUUGGUGGGGGGAUGGCCUACCAAGGCGGUGACGGGUAGCCGGCCUGAGAGGGUGAGAGGCAACAGUGGGACUGAGAUACGGCCCAGAUUCCUACGGGAGGCAGCAGGGGGGGAUAUGGCACAAUGGGCGAAAGCCUGACGCAGCUACGCCGCGUGGGGGAUGAAGGCUUUCGGGUCGUAAAGCUCUGUUAAUCGGGACGACGUACCGAAAUAUAAAGCCACGGCUAACUACGUGCCAGCCGCCGCGGUAAUUC
RNAcentral lists this ribosomal RNA (408 nucleotides) under uncultured bacterium. Its description in RNAcentral is "partial 16S ribosomal RNA". It matches the Rfam family "Bacterial small subunit ribosomal RNA", at positions 28 to 526 of the family's 1533-position model. The record is from RNAcentral.